Molecule: ribosomal RNA, 254 nt
Filed under: uncultured bacterium
Lineage: Bacteria
Description: partial small subunit ribosomal RNA
Rfam family: Bacterial small subunit ribosomal RNA
Source: RNAcentral
AGGACGAACGCUGGCGGCGUGCUUAACACAUGCAAGUCGAGCGGAAAGGCCCUUCGGGGUACUCGAGCGGCGAACGGGUGAGUAACACGUGAGUAAUCUGCCCCUAGCUCUGGGAUAGCUCCGGGAAACCGGGGUUAAUACCGGAUACGACCACCUUAGACAUCUUUUGUGGUGGAAAGAAUUUCGGCUAGGGAUGAGCUCGCGGCCUAUCAGCUUGUUGGUGGGGUAACGGCCUACCAAGGCGACGACGGGUA